CUACGGGAGGCAGCAGUAGGGAAUCUUCCACAAUGGACGCAAGUCUGAUGGAGCAACGCCGCGUGAGUGAAGAAGGUUUUCGGAUCGUAAAGCUCUGUUGUUGGUGAAGAAAGAUAGUGAGAGUAACUGCUCAUUAUUUGCCGGUAAUCAACCAGAAAGUCACGGCUAACUACGUGCCAGCAGCCGCGGUAAUA
Molecule: ribosomal RNA, 194 nt
Filed under: uncultured Lactobacillus sp.
Lineage: Bacteria; Bacillati; Bacillota; Bacilli; Lactobacillales; Lactobacillaceae
Description: partial 16S ribosomal RNA
Rfam family: Bacterial small subunit ribosomal RNA
Source: RNAcentral